AUCUAAAUCACUUAUCGAGGAACAAUUGGAGGGCAAGUCUGGUGCCAGCAGCCGCGGUAAUUCCAGCUCCAAUAGCGUAUAUUAAAGUUGUUGCAGUUAAAAAGCUCGUAGUUGAAUUUCUGAUUAUGAAUGUACUGGGUAACCGGUCCAUUUAUAGUCAUCCACAUGAGAACCUUUCUCGGCCUUCACUGGUCGGUUGGGGGAUCAUGUACUUUACUUUGAAAAAAUCAGAGUGUUUCAGGCAGGCGUUUGCAUGAAUACACAAGCAUGGAAUAAUGGAAUAGGACUAGGGUCCAUUUUAUUGGUUAUUGGACCAUAGUAAUGAUUAAUAGGGACAGUUGGGGGCAUUAGUAUUUAAUUGUCAGAGGUGAAAUUCUUGGAUUUAUUAAAGACUAACUUAUGCGAAAGCAUUUGCCAAGGAUGUUUUCAUUAAUCAAGAACGAAAGUUAGGGGAUCAAAGACGAUCAGAUACCGUCCUAGUCUUAACUAUAAACUAUACCGACUAGGA
RNAcentral lists this ribosomal RNA (508 nucleotides) under uncultured eukaryote. RNAcentral's name for it is "SSU rRNA". It matches the Rfam family "Eukaryotic small subunit ribosomal RNA", at positions 523 to 1051 of the family's 1831-position model. The record is from RNAcentral.